Molecule: signal recognition particle RNA, 97 nt
Filed under: Escherichia coli
Lineage: Bacteria; Pseudomonadati; Pseudomonadota; Gammaproteobacteria; Enterobacterales; Enterobacteriaceae
Also listed under: 2 other names
Description: signal recognition particle sRNA small type
Rfam family: Bacterial small signal recognition particle RNA
About the family: The signal recognition particle (SRP) is a universally conserved ribonucleoprotein involved in the co-translational targeting of proteins to membranes. Archaeal SRP consists of a 7S RNA and homologues of the eukaryotic SRP19 and SRP54 proteins.
Source: RNAcentral
UGUUGGUUCUCCCGUAACGCUACUCUGUUUACCAGGUCAGGUCCGGAAGGAAGCAGCCAAGGCAGAUGACGCGUGUGCCGGGAUGUAGCUGGCAGGG